Molecule: ribosomal RNA, 429 nt
Filed under: Bacteroidota bacterium
Lineage: Bacteria; Pseudomonadati; Bacteroidota
Description: Bacteroidetes bacterium partial 16S ribosomal RNA
Rfam family: Bacterial small subunit ribosomal RNA
Source: RNAcentral
UAGGGAAUCUUCGGCAAUGGGGGGAACCCUGACCGAGCAACGCCGCGUGAGUGAAGAAGGUUUUCGGAUCGUAAAGCUCUGUUGUUAAGGAAGAACGAGUGUGAGAAUGGAAAGUUCAUACUGUGACGGUACUUAACCAGAAAGGGACGGCUAACUACGUGCCAGCAGCCGCGGUAAUACGUAGGUCCCGAGCGUUGUCCGGAUUUAUUGGGCGUAAAGCGAGCGCAGGCGGUUAGAUAAGUCUGAAGUUAAAGGCAGUGGCUCAACCAUUGUAGGCUUUGGAAACUGUUUAACUUGAGUGCAGAAGGGGAGAGUGGAAUUCCAUGUGUGGCGGUGAAAUGCGUGGAUAUAUGGAGGAAAACCGGUGGCGAAAGCGGCUCUCUGGUCUGUAACUGACGCAGAGGCUCGAAAGCGUGAGGAGCGAACAGG